RNAcentral lists this small RNA (26 nucleotides) under Arabidopsis thaliana (thale cress). RNAcentral describes it as "ATSL249450". Lineage: Eukaryota; Viridiplantae; Streptophyta; Magnoliopsida; Brassicales; Brassicaceae. The record is from RNAcentral.
UUUUGGUUUUUUUUUUUUCUUGUUGG